GGGUGCAAUCAUAUCAACACUAAUUCACCGAAUCCUAUCAAAACUUCGCAGUUAAGCGGGCCCGGCGAGAGUAGUACUAAGAUGGGUGACUCUCUAGGGAAGUCUGUGUGUUACCAANN
Arabis alpina (gray rockcress) is the source of this 119-nucleotide ribosomal RNA. The record is from Rfam. Lineage: Eukaryota; Viridiplantae; Streptophyta; Magnoliopsida; Brassicales; Brassicaceae.